This is a non-coding RNA of Podarcis lilfordi (Lilford's wall lizard), 81 nucleotides long. The record is from the annotation of a GenBank genome assembly. Lineage: Eukaryota; Metazoa; Chordata; Lepidosauria; Squamata; Lacertidae.
ACAGGGAAGGGCCAUAGCUCAGUGGCAGAGCAUCUGCUUUGCAUGCAGAAGGUCUCCAAUUCGGUCCUUGGCAUCUCUGGA